Long non-coding RNA from Esox lucius (northern pike), 2282 nucleotides. The record is from Ensembl. NCBI's taxonomy places the organism in Eukaryota, Metazoa, Chordata, Actinopteri, Esociformes, Esocidae.
AGCACUGACGACCAACUGGAAACACCGGUCUUGGACCCACUGAAGCUGUCCUGGUUCUGGUUGUCACUCUGGUUCUGCUCAUUUAGCUUCAGGUCCAGCCAUGCCACUCUCUUCCUGGCCCCGCUCUUCUCAGGUGUUGCUCGCUCGGGGACCGAUGACUCUCCGCCUCCUCCAUCCCUACCCCCGGCCCGUUGGACGAGGCAGUUCUUCUUCCCUCUCCCCUCUUCCACAUCCCUUGUUCUGUCUUCAUACUUCGGUCUUUCUCGAGCGAGAGGACGCCGGCUGAGCUGGGGGCUGGACACACGAGAGGUCAUAGGGGAGAGGAUGGGGGACAACAUGGGGGACAUGCUGUCAACGCUACUGGGGCUAUGCGAGGUGUCCAAGAGAGAGAGAGAAAAGGGACACUUCCAUUCUCUCAUUGACUCAAAGGUUGUUGUGUUGUCACAGGCGAGAUCAGAGCGGUUGGUGGGGCGGCUGUGGGAUUUCCAUGGGGAAGUGUUCUUUGGGGGCGUGACGUCAUAGGUCCAGGUGGAUUCUGUAAACUCCUCUCUACACCUCACGGUUUCCCAGUCCUCGUCCUCCCCCAGGCCUUCCAUUCUCAGGGCUCUCCGCAGGCUCUGGCUCAAAGCCUCACCCAGGGCACGGAGUUCCUCAGCUGGAAGAGGAUCUUCCCGAGUGCUCCCCCAAUCCUGGAGCUCUGGCAGGGUUUGGGGUUGGGGCAGCGUCCCAGGAGGAGGUUGGACAGCAGCCUGGGGCAGCGUCCCAGGUGGAUGUUGGACAGCGGCCUGGGGCAGGGUUCCGGGUGGAGGUUGGACAGCGGCCUGGGUCAGGGUCUCAGAGAUACACCCAUCAGGCAAAGAGGUAAACAGACCAAACACACUUUCCAAUCUCUCUUCAGUCUCCUCUUCGGUAGAGUCAGCGCUUGUCAGACCGACCCUCCGAACAAUCCCCUCCACCUCGCCAAUUUUCCCCAUUACACCCCAGGCAGCAUUGCCGCCCUCCUCCCCCACUCUGCACCCCUCCUGGCUGGGGCUCAGGGUCCGGGCCGUCCCGCCUUCUGGAGACUGCCUGGUGCAUUCCCGGGAGACCAGCGCUUCGUUGUCAUACUCCGAAUGCUCUCCGUCAGAUUCAGUGUUCGCCGGUGUUCCUUUUAGGGUCAGGACAUCCCUGGGAUGGUGAGAACGGCAGUGGUACUCAAACGGGAGCACCUUGUUCGGGCAACCAGAUCUAUUCUCACAAAGAACCGCCCUGAGGGAAUCCUGAACAGGGCUGUAGGGCCUGCCGUACGGCCUCUGCACUCCCCAAGUAAGGUUUGAACUUCUGGGUAUCACUGCUGUCCCUUUGCCUGGAAUUGACUCUGUCUUCCCUUUCUCUUCUUCUUGCACGCCUUUCUUCUUUCUCUUGGUGACACAGAAGACGGAGACACCACAAGACGGAUACGAUGGUCUCGGCUCCCGCGCUCCCCACUGGGGGCACUCGUUGACCGGCUGUCCGCUCCUCAUCCACAGCCUCUUCGGCCUCCUUCUCCUGGAGGUGCCGGCUGAGUGUGGGGUCCCCGUGGACCGGGUGACGGUGUCCAGGAGGCUACGGGUGUGGCUCAGCACCUCAGCGCUCCGCCUCCUGGUCCCCUGGUUUUCUGUCGGGGGUCUAGACAAACAGUCAAAUUCGCUGUCUGCAGAGGCCAGACGCAUGAGCCUCCCUCCCUGGUUCCCCAUCCCGAUCCUGGCCUUGCAAUCUGAGCAGAGGGGUGAAAGGUGGAGGUCUGCCAACCAGCGGAGCUCAGAGCCUGACGACGAUCUGAAACCGGCCCCCUUCAUGCUCUGCUUGACACUUUGCUUCUCCCUUUUAAACCCACGUUCUUCAGCCUCAAGUGAACCUGUCUCGGUUGGCGCCUCCUCUCGUGGAUGGCAGGCUGUGAUUGGGAGGCCUUUAGGGGAGGCGGCGGUCUUGUGGGUGGGGCCAUCAGGACCCUUACAUAUGGGCAUGGGACCCUUGGGGUGGUGGUUUGGGGUGAAUGCGUGCAAGGGGCCCCUGCGGGUGGGGAUGGUGUCGGAGAGGAGGAAGGGGCUCCCGGGGGGAUAGAUUGGUCUCAGGGGAAGAUGUGCACGGGGCUCCUGGAAUGGCCUCACCAGGCUCCUCUCCAUGAUUGGCGGAUACAGAUACAGAGUGCUAUGGGUCCCUUCCAUCAUACCUGUCGCUGUAGAAGCAGCCAACAUCCUGUAUGGAGAUCCGGCGAAAUGUGUCCUGAAGUGUCAAGCUUUCAGAUCAUCGGUUUAGGUCAU